GUGCGAGAAGGCCCUGGGCGUCCCGCGACACAGCACCGAAAAGAACAAAAUCCAGCAGUAAUCUUGAGAAGAAGAAUUCACAUUUAAAGUUCGGCAAGUGACAGAGCAAAGAGUGAAGAGAAGCCCACAUUAAAAUGAGAUGGGAUGAGAAGAAAAGAAGGAAAUCCGUGUGAUCCUGGAGGAAAACCCUUUGAAUAGAACCAAGGUGGAGAUUGGAGGCGACGUCCGCCAGCUCCAAUUUCAGCGGGAGGACAGGCUGCCCCAGAACCAGGCUCUGUGCC
Long non-coding RNA from Kogia breviceps (pygmy sperm whale), 281 nucleotides. RefSeq lists it as uncharacterized. The record is from RefSeq and is a predicted model, not a curated record. NCBI's taxonomy places the organism in Eukaryota, Metazoa, Chordata, Mammalia, Artiodactyla, Physeteridae.